This is a non-coding RNA of Schistosoma mattheei, 46 nucleotides long. The record is from Rfam. Lineage: Eukaryota; Metazoa; Platyhelminthes; Trematoda; Strigeidida; Schistosomatidae.
GCAUUGUUGAUGAGUCCCACCAUAGGACGAAACAGCCGUCUAGUAC